AUAUAGGUGAUAUCGGCGAAAGUACCAAGAAAAGCCUAUGUGUAGUAAAUUGGUGAUUUCGCUAUAACUUUUUAAAAAAUCAACAUAUUUAAGAUGUGUUUUUUGCAAACUAGAUGUUUUGAUAGAUGCCGAAUCCAUUUGAAACUUCAAAUCGAUGCUAAAAUAUUGGGAAUAUGGACUUUUUGUUGAUUGGUGUAUGGUUGCUAAGGGGUUGCUAAGGGGAGAAUUUUCAGUUGCUAGUGGAUAUUAUAGUGAUAUCGGCGAAAGUACCAAGCAAAGCCUAUGUAUAGGAAAUAAGUGAUUUUGCCAUAACUUUUAGAAAAAUCAACAUAUUUUAGAUGUGUUUUUUGCAAACUAGAUGUUUUGAUAGAUGCUGAAUCCAUUUGAAACUUCAAAUCGUUGCUAAAAUAUUGGGAAUAUGGACUUUUUGCUGAUUGGUAUAUGGUUGCUAAGGGAAGAAUUUUAGUUGCUAGGGAUAAUUGUAUUUCAAAAUUUGCAUUCAAUUAUAACGUUGGAUAUGAAGUAUUAUAAGUAUUUCGAUAUUUCAUUGCUUUUUGGCAAUUUCGAUUUUUUUGUUUUUUUUUUGUGAUUUUGAAAAUGAUAUGAGCCAGUCCAUGCGAAAAGGUACAAAAAGUCCUUUUGGUAAACUUUACAGGACACGUUAUCAAAGUUUGUUAUAGUAUUUUUGAAAAACGAUUUUAUCCGA
RNAcentral lists this long non-coding RNA (706 nucleotides) under Mytilus galloprovincialis (Mediterranean mussel). The record is from RNAcentral. Lineage: Eukaryota; Metazoa; Mollusca; Bivalvia; Mytilida; Mytilidae.